RNAcentral lists this long non-coding RNA (527 nucleotides) under Olea europaea (common olive). RNAcentral describes it as "long non-coding RNA (OEUR_LNC008747)". Lineage: Eukaryota; Viridiplantae; Streptophyta; Magnoliopsida; Lamiales; Oleaceae. The record is from RNAcentral.
GUAGCUUUUUUAUUUCUCCUCUUCUUUUUAUCUUGCACUCUAUCCCCUUCUAAUAGAAUGCCACUAACAACUUUAUUAGCAUCCACUUUACUUUUAUUUUUCAAGCUGCCCUCCUCACCAUCUUCAAGAAGACCAUCCUUCUUCAGCUUUUUUCCUUUUUUUCUCUUUAGAUUCAACAAGUGCCGCAUAAUCAUCUUUACUUUCAUUUAAAUCUUUUCUUUUCUCUUCAGUUACCUUGGGCAUUACUUCUGGUCAUUUUUCAUUACCAUCAAGUACUUCAAAAGUUAGCUUGCUUUUCUUUCUUUUUUCUUCUCCUUCUGUUUCUUAGUGGGUUCAUUCACUGUUAUUUCACGAACUGCAUCAUUAGUAACUUUCUUCAAGGCUAAUAAUUCAUGUUCACUUUGAACAAGAGUAUUGGCUGUAAUUUUGUUUUUAUCCUUCUUUGAAUUUUGUUUUUAUCCUUCUUUGAUUUUUUUGGCUUCCAACCUUUCAGUAAUUCAAAUGGUUUCUUUGGAACAACCUUAGUU